UGGGGAAUUUUGGACAAUGGGGGAAACCCUGAUCCAGCCAUCCCGCGUGUGCGAUGAAGGCCUUCGGGUUGUAAAGCACUUUUGGCAGGAAAGAAACGUCAUGGGUUAAUACCCCGUGAAACUGACGGUACCUGCAGAAUAAGCACCGGCUAACUACGUGCCAGCAGCCGCGGUAAUACGUAGGGUGCAAGCGUUAAUCGGAAUUACUGGGCGUAAAGCGUGCGCAGGCGGUUCGGAAAGAAAGAUGUGAAAUCCCAGAGCUCAACUUUGGAACUGCAUUUUUAACUACCGGGCUAGAGUGUGUCAGAGGGAGGUGGAAUUCCGCGUGUAGCAGUGAAAUGCGUAGAUAUGCGGAGGAACACCGAUGGCGAAGGCAACCUCCUGGGAUAACACUGACGCUCAUGCACGAAAGCGUGGGGAGCAAACAGG
Molecule: ribosomal RNA, 429 nt
Filed under: Acidobacteriota bacterium
Lineage: Bacteria; Pseudomonadati; Acidobacteriota
Description: Acidobacteria bacterium partial 16S ribosomal RNA
Rfam family: Bacterial small subunit ribosomal RNA
Source: RNAcentral